UCCAGACUCCUACGGGAGGCAGCAGUGGGGAAUAUUGCACAAUGGGCGCAAGCCUGAUGCAGCCAUGCCGCGUGUGUGAAGAAGGCCUUCGGGUUGUAAAGCACUUUCAGUCGUGAGGAAGGUAGUGUAGUUAAUAGCUGCAUUAUUUGACGUUAGCGACAGAAGAAGCACCGGCUAACUCCGUGCCAGCAGCCGCGGUAAUACGGAGGGUGCGAGCGUUAAUCGGAAUUACUGGGCGUAAAGCGCAUGCAGGUGGUUUGUUAAGUCAGAUGUGAAAGCCCGGGGCUCAACCUCGGAAUAGCAUUUGAAACUGGCAGACUAGAGUACUGUAGAGGGGGGUAGAAUUUCAGGUGUAGCGGUGAAAUGCGUAGAGAUCUGAAGGAAUACCGGUGGCGAAGGCGGCCCCCUGGACAGAUACUGACACUCAGAUGCGAAAGCGUGGGGAGCAAACAGGAUUAGAUACCCUGGUAGUCCACGCCGUAAACGAUGUCUACUUGGAGGUUGUGGCCUUGA
This 513-nucleotide ribosomal RNA is filed under the name Vibrio sp. C096. Its description in RNAcentral is "bacterial SSU rRNA". It matches the Rfam family "Bacterial small subunit ribosomal RNA", at positions 330 to 835 of the family's 1533-position model. Lineage: Bacteria; Pseudomonadati; Pseudomonadota; Gammaproteobacteria; Vibrionales; Vibrionaceae. The record is from RNAcentral.